GCCGGGCAUGGUGGCGCGUGCCUGUAAUCCCUGCUACUGGGGAGGCUGAGGCAGGAUACUUGCUUGAACCCGGGAGGCGGAGGUUGCAGUGAGCCGAGAUCACGCCACUGCACUCCAGCCUGGGCGACAGAGCGAGACUCUGUCUCAA
Molecule: non-coding RNA, 148 nt
Organism: Homo sapiens (human)
Lineage: Eukaryota; Metazoa; Chordata; Mammalia; Primates; Hominidae
Rfam family: Metazoan signal recognition particle RNA
About the family: The signal recognition particle (SRP) is a universally conserved ribonucleoprotein.
Source: Rfam